RNAcentral lists this ribosomal RNA (253 nucleotides) under uncultured bacterium. RNAcentral describes it as "partial 16S ribosomal RNA". It matches the Rfam family "Bacterial small subunit ribosomal RNA", at positions 524 to 776 of the family's 1533-position model. The record is from RNAcentral.
UACGUAGGGUGCAAGCGUUAAUCGGAAUUACUGGGCGUAAAGCGUGCGCAGGCGGUUGUGCAAGACAGAUGUGAAAUCCCCGGGCUCAACCUGGGAACUGCAUUUGUGACUGCACGGCUAGAGUGUGUCAGAGGGGGGUAGAAUUCCACGUGUAGCAGUGAAAUGCGUAGAUAUGUGGAGGAACACCGAUGGCGAAGGCAGCCCCCUGGGCUAACACUGACGCUCAUGCACGAAAGCGUGGGGAGCAAACAGG